RNAcentral lists this ribosomal RNA (497 nucleotides) under uncultured bacterium. RNAcentral describes it as "partial 16S ribosomal RNA". It matches the Rfam family "Bacterial small subunit ribosomal RNA", at positions 28 to 507 of the family's 1533-position model. The record is from RNAcentral.
GAUGAACGCUGGCGGCGUGCCUAAUACAUGCAAGUCGAGCGAACGGACGAGAAGCUUGCUUCUCUGAUGUUAGCGGCGGACGGGUGAGUAACACGUGGAUAACCUACCUAUAAGACUGGGAUAACUUCGGGAAACCGGAGCUAAUACCGUAUGAUAUUUUGAACCGCAUGGUUCAAAAGUGAAAGACGGUCUUGCUGUCACUUAUAGAUGGAUCCGCGCUGCAUUAGCUAGUUGGUAAGGUAACGGCUUACCAAGGCAACGAUGCAUAGCCGACCUGAGAGGGUGAUCGGCCACACUGGAACUGAGACACGGUCCAGACUCCUACGGGAGGCAGCAGUAGGGAAUCUUCCGCAAAGGGCGAAAGCCUGACGGAGCAACGCCGCGUGAGUGAUGAAGGUCUUCGGAUCGUAAAACUCUGUUAUUAGGGAAGAACAUAUGUGUAAGUAACUGUGCACAUCUUGACGGUACCUAAUCAGAAAGCCACGGCUAACUACGUG